RNAcentral lists this unclassified non-coding RNA (217 nucleotides) under Hevea brasiliensis (rubber tree). Lineage: Eukaryota; Viridiplantae; Streptophyta; Magnoliopsida; Malpighiales; Euphorbiaceae. The record is from RNAcentral.
AUUUAGACUGGGUCAGAAUUUCAGGUCUAUUUUCUAUGUCUAAGUCUAGUGUUGUUAUUGGAAGGGGCGUUGCUAUCCGCUGCCAACAAAGCCUAUUUAUUUGUAAAGGUUUUGUAGACUAAAUGUCCUCAGCUUGUACAGACCGGUUCUUUUGGCUUUGAGUAUCUGAAUCUUCCUCUAUAUAUUGACACAUCUUUGGGAAGUUUGAGGUGUUUCA